GAGCAAUGAUGAACUUUAUUUUGUCUGACUCUUCAAAUAAUGAAGGUUUCUACACUUGAACUGAGCUCA
Molecule: small nucleolar RNA, 69 nt
Filed under: Gopherus agassizii (Agassiz's desert tortoise)
Lineage: Eukaryota; Metazoa; Chordata; Testudines; Testudinidae
Description: Small nucleolar RNA U2-30 (ENSGAGG00000001129.1)
Source: RNAcentral